CAGCUUGUUGGCGAGGUAAUGGCUCACCAAGGCAAUGAUCGGUAGCCGGACUGAGAGGUUGGCCGGCCACACUGGAACUGAGACACGGUCCAGACUCCUACGGGAGGCAGCAGUGGGGAAUCUUGCACAAUGGACGAAAGUCUGAUGCAGCAACGCCGCGUGGGGGAUGAAGCUUCUCGGAGUGUAAACCCCUUUCGACCCGGAAGAAUGCCCGCAAGGGUAUGACGGUACGGGUAUAAGAAGCCCCGGCUAACUACGUGCCAGCAGCCGCGGUAAUACGUAGGGGGCCAGCGUUGCUCGGAAUUACUGGGCGUAAAGGGUCCGUAGGCGGUGUAGCAAGUCGAUAGUGAAAUCUCUGGGCUUAACCCAGAGGCUGCUAACGAAACUGCUGUGCUAGAGUGUGAGAGAGGCGAGUGGAAUUACGGGUGUAGCGGUGAAAUGCGUAGAUAUCCGUAGGAACAUCCGAGGCGAAGGCGGCUCGCUGGAUCACAACUGACGCUGAGGGACGAAAGCUAGGGGAGCAAACAGGAUUAGAUACCCUGGUAGUCCUAGCCCUAAACCAUCAGGACUUGGGGUUU
RNAcentral lists this ribosomal RNA (578 nucleotides) under uncultured Acidobacteriota bacterium. RNAcentral's name for it is "SSU rRNA". It matches the Rfam family "Bacterial small subunit ribosomal RNA", at positions 242 to 825 of the family's 1533-position model. The record is from RNAcentral. Lineage: Bacteria; Pseudomonadati; Acidobacteriota.